UACGGAGGGAGCUAGCGUUGUUCGGAAUCACUGGGCGUAAAGCGCACGUAGGCGGCUACUCCAGUCAGAGGUGAAAGCCCGGGGCUCAACCCCGGAACUGCCUUUGAAACUAGGUAGCUAGAAUCUUGGAGAGGCGAGUGGAAUUCCGAGUGUAGAGGUGAAAUUCGUAGAUAUUCGGAAGAACACCAGUGGCGAAGGCGACUCGCUGGACAAGUAUUGACGCUGAGGUGCGAAAGCGUGGGGAGCAAACAGG
RNAcentral lists this ribosomal RNA (253 nucleotides) under uncultured bacterium. RNAcentral describes it as "partial 16S ribosomal RNA". It matches the Rfam family "Bacterial small subunit ribosomal RNA", at positions 524 to 776 of the family's 1533-position model. The record is from RNAcentral.